Long non-coding RNA from Carassius gibelio (silver crucian carp), 475 nucleotides. RefSeq lists it as uncharacterized. The record is from RefSeq and is a predicted model, not a curated record. NCBI's taxonomy places the organism in Eukaryota, Metazoa, Chordata, Actinopteri, Cypriniformes, Cyprinidae. The transcript has 2 exons.
AACCCAUCAAAGAAGAGUUAGCUGUGGCCUGAUGGUUAGAGAGUUGGACUUGAAACCUGAAGGUCACAGGGUUGAGUCUCGGUGCUGGCAGGAGCUGUAGGUAGGGGAUGGGGGUUGAUGAACAGCGCUCUCUUCCACCCUCAGUACCCAAGCCUGAAGUGCCCAUGAGCAAGGCACUGAACCCCCAGUUUCUCCCCUGGCGCUGGAUCUAUAGCUGCCCACUGCUCCGGGUCUUCAGGUCAGGCUAAUCUGAUAAAUGAUAUUCACUUGAUAACAUCUUGCUGUGUCCUCUGGAAGUAACCCAAUAAUUAGAAAUUCCUUCAGGAUUUCCAAGUGUGGUUGGAUGCAUUGAUGGCAUGCAUAUUCCUACCAUCUAACCUACCGAAAAUGAAGAGGAUUACUGUGUGGAAGGGUAGGAUGAGAUAUAUGCUGUAACCACCACCACUGCUGUUAAAUAAACUAACUAUUCACAAUC